UGGGGAAUAUUGCACAAUGGGCGCAAGCCUGAUGCAGCCAUGCCGCGUGUGUGAAGAAGGCCUUCGGGUUGUAAAGCACUUUCAGCGAGGAGGAAGGUGGUGAGCUUAAUACGCUCAUCAAUUGACGUUACUCGCAGAAGAAGCACCGGCUAACUCCGUGCCAGCAGCCGCGGUAAUACGGAGGGUGCAAGCGUUAAUCGGAAUUACUGGGCGUAAAGCGCACGCAGGCGGUUUGUUAAGUCAGAUGUGAAAUCCCCGGGCUCAACCUGGGAACUGCAUUUGAAACUGGCAAGCUAGAGUCUCGUAGAGGGGGGUAGAAUUCCAGGUGUAGCGGUGAAAUGCGUAGAGAUCUGGAGGAAUACCGGUGGCGAAGGCGGCCCCCUGGACGAAGACUGACGCUCAGGUGCGAAAGCGUGGGGCAGCAAACAGGAUUAGAUACCCUGGUAGUCCACGCUGUAAACGAUGUCGAUUUGGAGGUUGUGCCCUUGAGGCGUGGCUUCCGGAGCUAACGCGUUAAAUCGACCGCCUGGGGAGUACGGCCGCAAGGUUAAAACUUAAAGGAAUUG
Molecule: ribosomal RNA, 566 nt
Filed under: uncultured bacterium
Lineage: Bacteria
Description: partial 16S ribosomal RNA
Rfam family: Bacterial small subunit ribosomal RNA
Source: RNAcentral